Molecule: ribosomal RNA, 508 nt
Filed under: uncultured bacterium
Lineage: Bacteria
Description: bacterial SSU rRNA
Rfam family: Bacterial small subunit ribosomal RNA
Source: RNAcentral
AGAGUUUGAUCAUGGCUCAGGAUGAACGCUGGCGGCGUGCCUAAUACAUGCAAGUCGAACGAGGUGCUUUUGUAGCAAUACGAGAGUAUCCUAGUGGCGAACGGGUGAGUAACGCGUUGGUGACCUACCCCAAAGUGUGGGAUAACAGUCCGAAAGGAUUGCUAAUACCGCAUGUGGUUAUUGGAUUUAGAAACCGGUAACUAAAGGAGCAAUUCGCUUUGGGAGGGACCUGCGUCCCAUCAGCUAGUUGGUGAGGUAAUGGCUCACCAAGGCGACGACGGGUAGGGGACCUGAGAGGGUGACCCCCCACAAUGGAACUGAAACACGGUCCAUACACCUACGGGUGGCAGCAGUAGGGAAUAUUGCUCAAUGGGCGAAAGCCUGAAGCAGCAACGCCGCGUGUGUGGUGAAGGCCUUCGGGUCGUAAAGCACUUUUCUGGGAGAUGAGAAAGGACAGUAUCCCAGGAAUAAGUCUCGGCUAACUACGUGCCAGCCGCCGCGGUAAUAC